CAGUAGCCGCGGUAAUACGGAGGGAGCUAGCGUUGUUCGGAAUUACUGGGCGUAAAGCGCGCGUAGGCGGUUACUCAAGUCAGAGGUGAAAGCCCGGGGCUCAACCCCGGAACUGCCUUUGAAACUAGGUGACUAGAAUCUUGGAGAGGUCAGUGGAAUUCCGAGUGUAGAGGUGAAAUUCGUAGAUAUUCGGAAGAACACCAGUGGCGAAGGCGACUGACUGGACAAGUAUUGACGCUGUGGUGCGAAAGCGUGGGGAGCAAACAGGAUUAGAUACCCCCGUAGUCCCUGUCUCUUAUAC
Molecule: ribosomal RNA, 301 nt
Filed under: uncultured bacterium
Lineage: Bacteria
Description: partial 16S ribosomal RNA
Rfam family: Bacterial small subunit ribosomal RNA
Source: RNAcentral